Molecule: ribosomal RNA, 449 nt
Filed under: uncultured bacterium
Lineage: Bacteria
Description: partial 16S ribosomal RNA
Rfam family: Bacterial small subunit ribosomal RNA
Source: RNAcentral
AACGAACGCUGGCGGCAGGCUUAACACAUGCAAGUCGAACGCAUCCUUCGGGGUGAGUGGCAGACGGGUGAGUAACGCGUGGGAACGUGCCCUUCAGUUCGGGAUAACCCAGGGAAACUUGGGCUAAUACCGGAUACGUGCGAGAGCAGAAAGAUUUAUCGCUGAAGGAUCGGCCCGCGUCUGAUUAGCUAGUUGGUGGGGUAAUGGCCCACCAAGGCGACGAUCAGUAGCUGGUCUGAGAGGAUGAUCAGCCACAUUGGGACUGAGACACGGCCCAAACUCCUACGGGAGGCAGCAGUGGGGAAUAUUGGACAGUGGGCGCAAGCUUGAUCCGGCCAUGCCGCGUGAGUGAUGAAGGCCUUCGGGUUGUAAAGCUCUUUCGUCCGGGACGAUAAUGACGGUACCGGAAGAAGAAGCCCCGGCUAACUUCGUGCCAGCAGCCGCAGUAA